CCUACGGGAGGCAGCAGUGGGGAAUUUUGGACAAUGGGGGGCAACCCUGAUCCAGCAAUGCCGCGUGAGUGAAGAAGGCCUUCGGGUUGUAAAGCUCUUUUGUCAGGGAAGAAACGGUUCUGGCUAAUAUCCGGAGCUAAUGACGGUACCUGAAGAAUAAGCACCGGCUAACUACGUGCCAGCAGCCGCGGUAAUACGUAGGGUGCGAGCGUUAAUCGGAAUUACUGGGCGUAAAGCGUGCGCAGGCGGUUGUGCAAGACAGAUGUGAAAUCCCCGGGCUCAACCUGGGAAUUGCAUUUGUGACUGCACGGCUAGAGUGUGUCAGAGGGGGGUAGAAUUCCACGUGUGGCAGUGAAAUGCGUAGAGAUGUGGAGGAAUACCGAUGGCGAAGGCAGCCCCCUGGGGAUAACACUGACGCUCAUGCACGAAAGCGUGGGGAGCAAACAGGAUUAGAUACCCUGGUAGUCCACGCCCUAAACGAUGUCAACUAGUUNUCGGGUCUUAAUUGACUUGGUAACGCAGCUAACGCGUGAAGUUGACCGCCUGGGGAGUACGGUCGCAAGNUUAAAACGUCAAAGGAAUUGACGG
This 588-nucleotide ribosomal RNA is filed under the name uncultured bacterium. RNAcentral's name for it is "bacterial SSU rRNA". It matches the Rfam family "Bacterial small subunit ribosomal RNA", at positions 338 to 916 of the family's 1533-position model. The record is from RNAcentral.